GAUAAUUAAAAAGAAUAAGUCAUAUAGUAGAGAUAAAAGAGUUAUUUUAAUGCUUUUUAUGUGAUAUUUAAUACUAUUUUCAAAAUUAAAUUUAAGAUAAUUAACAUUAUUUUAUUAUUAUGUAUGAAAUAAAUAUUAAAAUAAUUUUGAAGUUUUUAUAAUUUAUCAUAAUUAUUAUUAAAAUACUUUUAAUUUUGAUUAGUAAUAAAUAAUGUUUACUACUAUUAAACAUAAUGCAAUGGUGGUACUACAAAUGAUUAAAAGAUAUCUUG
RNAcentral lists this long non-coding RNA (272 nucleotides) under Physcomitrium patens. RNAcentral describes it as "long non-coding RNA (PPAT_LNC003916)". The record is from RNAcentral. Lineage: Eukaryota; Viridiplantae; Streptophyta; Bryopsida; Funariales; Funariaceae.